UUAGCUAGUUGGUGAGAUAAAAGCCCACCAAGGCAACGAUCAGUAACCGGCUUGAGAGAGUGAACGGUCACAUUGGAACUGAGACACGGUCCAAACUCCUACGGGAGGCAGCAGUGGGGAAUCUUGCACAAUGGAGGCAACUCUGAUGCAGCGACGCCGCGUGAGCGAUGAAGGAAUUCGUUUCGUAAAGCUCUGUCCUAGGGGAAGAUAAUGACAGUACCCUUGGAGGAAGCCCCGGCUAAAUACGUGCCAGCAGCCGCGGUAAUACGUAUGGGGCGAGCGUUGUCCGGAAUUAUUGGGCGUAAAGGGUACGUAGGCGGUUUCAUAAGUCAGAUGUGAAAGCUUGGGGCUCAACCCCAUAAAGCAUUUGAAACUGUGGAACUUGAGUAGUGGAGAGGAAAGUGGAAUUCCUAGUGUAGCGGUGAAAUGCGUAGAUAUUAGGAGGAAUACCAGUGGCGAAGGCGACUUUCUGGACACAAACUGACGCUGAGGUACGAAAGCAUGGGGAGCAAACAGGAUUAGAUACCCUGGUAGUCCAUGCCGUAAACGAUGAAUGCUAGGUGUCGGGGGUCAAACCUCGGUGCCGUCGUUAAC
Molecule: ribosomal RNA, 594 nt
Filed under: uncultured bacterium
Lineage: Bacteria
Description: bacterial SSU rRNA
Rfam family: Bacterial small subunit ribosomal RNA
Source: RNAcentral